This is a long non-coding RNA of Humulus lupulus (European hop), 408 nucleotides long. RefSeq lists it as uncharacterized. The record is from RefSeq and is a predicted model, not a curated record. The transcript has 2 exons. Lineage: Eukaryota; Viridiplantae; Streptophyta; Magnoliopsida; Rosales; Cannabaceae.
CUCAGCGGGACUGCCGAAGGCUCGACAAUGCAGACUCAGAGACUCGUUGGUGCAGGUAAAGAUCUCUCUCUCUCUCUCAUUCUAUUUUACAGUUGACGUCGACUGGGUUGCGUGGACUAGAGAUGGUGGUGUGACGGGGUGCCAUGGGUGUUCAAUUCCUGGUUUAUGUAUUUUUUUUAUUAUUGUAAUGCAAUUUAUUUAUUUCUUUUUGUUUAAAUUGUUCUUGUAUCUUGCUCUGUGCAGUCAACUUGAAGGAGUGAAGUCCACUCGACUUCCCUCUUACGCCACUUUUCCCCGUGUUUUGGCUCCAAACGGAGUGAACCCCUAGAGACCUUGAAGGAAACGGUUCAAUUUCCACGAAUCUUGGAUCAUGGAAGUCUUGUAAGAAAUUCUCAUAUUCCAUGAGAA